AGCAGCCGCGGUAAUUCCAGCUCCAAUAGCGUAUAUUAAAGUUGUUGCAGUUAAAAAGCUCGUAGUUGAAUUUCGGGGUUAGUAGGUUGGUCAUGCCUCUGGUAUGUACUGGUCUCACUGAUUCCUCCUUCCUGAUGAACCGUAAUGCCAUUAAUUUGGUGUUGCGGGGAAUUUGGACUGUUACUUUGAAAAAAUUAGAGUGUUUAAAGCAAGCUAACGCUUGAAUACAUUAGCAUGGAAUAAUGAAAUAGGACGUUCGAUCCUAUUUUGUUGGUUUCUAGGAUUGACGUAAUGAUUAAUAGGGAUAGUUGGGGGCAUUAGUAUUCAAUUGUCAGAGGUGAAAUUCUUGGAUUUAUUGAAGACUAACUACUGCGAAAGCAUUUGCCAAGGAUGUUUUCAUUAAUCAAGAACGAAAGUUAGGGGAUCGAAGACGAUCAGAUACCGUCGUAGUCUUAACCAUAAACUAUGCCGACUAGGGAUCGGAUGAUGUUAAUUUUUUAAUGACUCAUUCGGCGCCUUACG
RNAcentral lists this ribosomal RNA (522 nucleotides) under uncultured fungus. Its description in RNAcentral is "SSU rRNA". It matches the Rfam family "Eukaryotic small subunit ribosomal RNA", at positions 569 to 1092 of the family's 1831-position model. The record is from RNAcentral. Lineage: Eukaryota; Fungi. RNAcentral also lists the same sequence under 2 other names.